Molecule: long non-coding RNA, 545 nt
Filed under: Equus caballus (horse)
Lineage: Eukaryota; Metazoa; Chordata; Mammalia; Perissodactyla; Equidae
Description: lncRNA (ENSECAG00000028383.3)
Source: RNAcentral
GGUGGGACCAGAUCCCAGCAAACCUGAGCGCCUGAGUCCAGCUCCACAUGCUGCUGCAAAUGUGCCAUGAGGGCUUUUGAAGGCACAGGCCAAAGCAGAGUCCCUGGGAUGCAGCUGUCUCUAGACCCCUUGACAAAGACAGCGAGGCUCAUCGUGGUAAGACCAGCCUCUCACUUAGGGUGAAGAAGCAAGCCACACGGCUUCUGACGGCUCCACACGAAACCAUCUGAGCGGCACUUGAAAGGAUCUUUGCUAUCUUUGGUCCAACACUGGACCUAACUCUCAACAGUGGCCUCACAGUUUCACUCAUCAAACUCGUGGCAGGCAGGACAUUAGUUAAUAAACCCCUAUGGCCAGCUGGACAAGAGAAUGAAGCUUCUCAUACAAAAUGUCCACAAGGCAGUCUUUCCGAAGAGCAUCCAUGUAUCGGAUCCUGUGUGUCUGUCUGUCUGUAACCUUGGGUCACUUGUCCCACAGCUGGACUCCCUCUGCUCUCUCUCUUUGUAGCCCUGGCUGUCAAACCAAUAAAUACAGGUCAAUCCUGC